GUGGGGAAUCUUGGACAAUGGGCGAAAGCCUGAUCCAGCGACGCCGCGUGACCGAUGAAGCCCCUCGGGGUGUAAAGGUCUUUCAGCGGGGAAAAUAAUGAUGGUACCCGCAGAAGCAGCUGCGGCUAACUACGUGCCAGCAGCCGCGGUAAUACGUAGGCAGCAAGCGUUGUUCGGAAUUACUGGGCGUAAAGCGAGUGUAGGCGGUUCGCCAAGUCCGUUGUGAAAUCUCCCGGCUCAACUGGGAGGGUGCGGCGGAAACUGGCAAGCUAGAGUGCGGAAGAGGAAAGUGGAAUUCCUGGUGUAGCGGUGAAAUGCGUAGAUAUCAGGAGGAACACCGGUGGUGAAGACGGCUUUCUGGUCCGCCACUGACGC
This 375-nucleotide ribosomal RNA is filed under the name uncultured bacterium. RNAcentral describes it as "bacterial SSU rRNA". It matches the Rfam family "Bacterial small subunit ribosomal RNA", at positions 354 to 746 of the family's 1533-position model. The record is from RNAcentral.